GUGGGGAAUCUUCCGCAAUGGACGAAAGUCUGACGGAGCAACGCCGCGUGAGUGAUGACGGCCUUCGGGUUGUAAAGCUCUGUUAAUCGGGACGAAUGGUUCUUGUGCAAAUAGUGCGAGGAUUUGACGGUACCGGAAUAGAAAGCCACGGCUAACUACGUGCCAGCAGCCGCGGUAAUACGUAGGUGGCAAGCGUUGUCCGGAAUUAUUGGGCGUAAAGCGCGCGCAGGCGGAUUGGUCAGUCUGUCUUAAAAGUUCGGGGCUUAACCCCGUGAUGGGAUGGAAACUGCCAAUCUAGAGUAUCGGAGAGGAAAGUGGAAUUCCUAGUGUAGCGGUGAAAUGCGUAGAUAUUAGGAAGAACACCAGUGGCGAAGGCGACUUUCUGGACGAAAACUGACGCUGAGGCGCGAAAGCCAGGGGAGCGAACGGGAUUAGAUACCCCGGUAGUCCUGGCCGUAAACGAUGGGUACUAGGUGUAGGAGGUAUCGACCCCUUCUGUGCCGGAGUUAACGCAAUAAGUACCCCGCCUGGGGAGUACGACCGCAAGGUUG
This 551-nucleotide ribosomal RNA is filed under the name uncultured bacterium. RNAcentral describes it as "bacterial SSU rRNA". It matches the Rfam family "Bacterial small subunit ribosomal RNA", at positions 354 to 896 of the family's 1533-position model. The record is from RNAcentral.